GAUGAACGCUGGCGGCGUGCCUAACACAUGCAAGUCGAGCGAUUCUCCUCGGAGAAGAGCGGCGGACGGGUGAGUAACGCGUGGGUAACCUGCCCUGUACACACGGAUAACAUACCGAAAGGUAUGCUAAUACGAGAUAAUAUGCUUUUAUCGCAUGGUAGAGGUAUCAAAGCUACGGCGGUACAGGAUGGACCCGGGUCUGAUUAGCUAGUUGGUAAGGUAACGGCCUACCAAGGCGACGAUCAGUAGCCGACCUGAGAGGGCGAUCGGCCACAUUGGAGCGGGGACACGGUCCAAACUCAUACGGGAGGCAGCAGUGGGGAAUAUUGCACGAUGGGCGAAAGCCUGAUGCAGCAACGCCGCGUGAGCGAUGAAGGCCUUCGGGUCGUAAAGCUCUGUCCUCAAGGAAGAUGAUGACGGUACUUGAGGAGGAAGCCCCGGCUAACUACGUGCCAGCCGCCGCCGUAA
RNAcentral lists this ribosomal RNA (468 nucleotides) under uncultured bacterium. RNAcentral's name for it is "partial 16S ribosomal RNA". It matches the Rfam family "Bacterial small subunit ribosomal RNA", at positions 28 to 523 of the family's 1533-position model. The record is from RNAcentral.